GUGUUGAGGAGCUUCGUGGAGGUUGGCCAGGUAACCUACAUCUUCCUUGGACCUUAGGCUGGAAAACUGGUCACAACUGUAGAUGUUAUUGAUCAGAAUGGGGCUUUGGUCGGUGGACCUUGCACUCAGGUAAGGAGACAGCCUAUGCCUUUAAAAUGCAUGCAGCUCACUGAUUUCAUCCUCAAGUUUCCACACAGUGCCCAGCAGAAUUAUGUCCCAUAAGCCUGGCAGAGGGCAGACAAUACAAAAUGGGCAGCCACAUGAUGGGCCAAGAAGAUUGAAGCCAGAGAAGGGAAAGCCAAGAUGGCAGAUUUUGAUCAUUUUAAAGUCAUGAAGGCAAAAUGAGGAACAGAAUAAUCAAGAAUGAAAUUAAGAAGCUUCAAAAGGCAGCUCUCCUGAAAGUGUCUCCCAAAAAAGCACCUGCUAUUAAGAGUGCUGCUGCUAAAGUUCCAGAAAAAAAGAUGACCACUGCGGGAAAGAAGGCUGCAACCCAGAAGUUUCCUGCCCAGAAAGCAAAAGGCCAGAAGGCAGUACCUCCUUUGGAAGCUCAGAAGGGUCAAAACACUCCAGCCCAAAAAGCACCAGCUCCAAAGGCAUCUAGCAAGAAAGC
This 610-nucleotide long non-coding RNA is filed under the name Homo sapiens (human). RNAcentral's name for it is "non-protein coding lnc-FEZF2-4:1". The record is from RNAcentral. Lineage: Eukaryota; Metazoa; Chordata; Mammalia; Primates; Hominidae.